RNAcentral lists this ribosomal RNA (400 nucleotides) under uncultured bacterium. RNAcentral's name for it is "bacterial SSU rRNA". It matches the Rfam family "Bacterial small subunit ribosomal RNA", at positions 975 to 1368 of the family's 1533-position model. The record is from RNAcentral. RNAcentral also lists the same sequence under 1 other name.
CAAGGCUUGACAUAUACCGGAAAGCAUUAGAGAUAGUGCCCCCCUUGUGGUCGGUAUACAGGUGGUGCAUGGCUGUCGUCAGCUCGUGUCGUGAGAUGUUGGGUUAAGUCCCGCAACGAGCGCAACCCUUGUCCUGUGUUGCCAGCAUGCCCUUCGGGGUGAUGGGGACUCACAGGAGACCGCCGGGGUCAACUCGGAGGAAGGUGGGGACGACGUCAAGUCAUCAUGCCCCUUAUGUCUUGGGCUGCACACGUGCUACAAUGGCCGGUACAAAGAGCUGCGAUGCCGCGAGGCGGAGCGAAUCUCAAAAAGCCGGUCUCAGUUCGGAUUGGGGUCUGCAACUCGACCCCAUGAAGUCGGAGUUGCUAGUAAUCGCAGAUCAGCAUUGCUGCGGUGAAUA